CCCUUAGAUGUUCUGGGCCGCACGCGCGCUACACUGACGAAUGCAACGAGCUUAUAACCUUGGCCGAAAGGUCUGGGUAAUCUCCAAAUUUCGUCGUGAUGGGGAUAGGUUAUUGCAAUUAUUAAUCUUCAACGAGGAAUGCCUAGUAAGCGCAAGUCAUCAGCUUGCGUUGAUUACGUCCCUGCCCUUUGUACACACCGCCCGUCGCUCCUACCGAUUGAAUGGUCCGGUGAAGCGCUCGGACCGCGGCCUCUUGACGGUUCGCUGUCGAUUGGCUGUGGGAAGUUCGUUAAACCUUAUCAUUUAGAGGAAGGAGAANUCGUANCA
Molecule: ribosomal RNA, 327 nt
Filed under: uncultured eukaryote
Lineage: Eukaryota
Description: partial 18S ribosomal RNA
Rfam family: Eukaryotic small subunit ribosomal RNA
Source: RNAcentral